UUAACACAUGCAAGUCGAGCGGGCGUAGCAAUACGUGCAGCGGCAGACGGGUGAGUAACGCGUGGGAACGUACCUUUUGGUUCGGAACAACACAGGGAAACUUGUGCUAAUACCGGAUAAGCCCUUACGGGGAAAGAUUUAUCGCCGAAAGAUCGGCCCGCGUCUGAUUAGCUAGUUGGUGGGGUAAAGGCUUACCAAGGCGACGAUCAGUAGCUGGUCUGAGAGGAUGAUCAGCCACAUUGGGACUGAGACACGGCCCAAACUCCUACGGGAGGCAGCAGUGGGGAAUAUUGGACAAUGGGCGCAAGCCUGAUCCAGCAAUGCCGCGUGUGUGAAGAAGGUCUUCGGAUUGUAAAGCACUUUUGGCAGGGACGAUGAUGACGGUACCUGCAGAAUAAGCCCCGGCUAACUUCGUGCCAGCAGCCGCGGUAAU
RNAcentral lists this ribosomal RNA (433 nucleotides) under uncultured bacterium. RNAcentral's name for it is "bacterial SSU rRNA". It matches the Rfam family "Bacterial small subunit ribosomal RNA", at positions 48 to 524 of the family's 1533-position model. The record is from RNAcentral.